This 497-nucleotide ribosomal RNA is filed under the name uncultured bacterium. RNAcentral's name for it is "partial 16S ribosomal RNA". It matches the Rfam family "Bacterial small subunit ribosomal RNA", at positions 28 to 507 of the family's 1533-position model. The record is from RNAcentral.
GAUGAACGCUGGCGGCGUGCCUAAUACAUGCAAGUCGAGCGAACAGACGAGGAUCUUGCUCCUCUGACGUUAGCGGCGGACGGGUGAGUAACACGUGGAUAACCUCCCUAUAAGACUGGGAUAACUUCGGGAAACCGGAGCUAAUACCGGAUAACAUGUUGAACCGCAUGGUUCAACAGUGAAAGACGGUCUUGGUGUCACUUAUAGAUGUAUCCGCGCCGCAUUAGCUAGUUGGUAAGGUAACGGCUUACCAAGGCAACGAUGCGUAGCCGACCUGAGAGGGUGAUCGGCCACACUGGAAGGGAGACACGGUCCAGACUCCUACGGGAGGCAGCAGUAGGGAAUCUGCCGCAAUGGGCGAAAGCCUGACGGAGCAACGCCGCGUGAGUGAUGAAGGUCUUCGGAUCGUAAAACUCUGUUAUUAGGGAAGAACAAAUGUGUAAGUAACAAUGCACGUCUUGACGGUACCUGAUCAGAAAGCCACGGCUAACUACGUG